AACGAACGCUGGCGGCAUGCCUAACACAUGCAAGUCGAACGAUGCUUUCGGGCUUUUUGGCGCACGGGUUCGUAACGCGUGGGAAUCUGCCCUUGUGUUCGGCAUAACUGUGAGAAAUUGCUGCUUAUACCGGAUGAUGUCUUCGGCCCAAAGAUUUAUCGCCCAGGGAUGAGCCCGCGUAGGAUUAGCUAGUUGGUUGGGUAAUGGCAUACCAAGGCGACGAUCCUUAGCUGGUCUGAGAGGAUGAUCAGCCACACUGGGACUGAGACACGGCACAGACUACUACGGGAGGCAGGAGUGGGGAAUAGAGGAAAAUGGGCGCAAGGAUGAAGCAGCAAUGACGGGUGAGAGAUGAAGGCAGUAGGGAAGUAAAGCGCAAUUAACAGGGAAGAUAAUGACAGUACCGGGAGAAUAAGCACCGGCUAACUACGUG
This 433-nucleotide ribosomal RNA is filed under the name uncultured bacterium. RNAcentral's name for it is "partial 16S ribosomal RNA". It matches the Rfam family "Bacterial small subunit ribosomal RNA", at positions 29 to 507 of the family's 1533-position model. The record is from RNAcentral.